This is a long non-coding RNA of Patella vulgata (common limpet), 1392 nucleotides long. RefSeq lists it as uncharacterized. The record is from RefSeq and is a predicted model, not a curated record. NCBI's taxonomy places the organism in Eukaryota, Metazoa, Mollusca, Gastropoda, Patellidae. The transcript is spliced from 2 exons.
GAUGUCCGCCAAGUCGGUCAGAAGACGGAGACGUAUUUUUUAACAGCGUGUUGUGUCGCUCAUACUGACUCUAGCGAGCAGCCAAGUUGGUAUGACGUCAAGAUUACAGGUAGAAGAAUUGCCCUUUAGUAUGAUAUCUUUUAUAUGAUCACAUGAUGCUGAUUCAAACUGAUUCAGGAAUCCAGCCGGAAUAUUAGAAGGGCCGUCUAAAUUAGCAGACGUCAAAUCUUGCGAAAUUCAAAAUAUUUUCAGCUAAAAGAAAUAUCAACGCUGCUGCACAAGGUUAAGAAAAUAGUGUGGAUAAAAGUUACAAUGUCUUGAUCCUAUAGAUUACACAUAAAAUUUCAAAACAAAACAGAGCUGGUAUGGAGCUGCCAUCCACGCUCACACACUCUAAACACGUACAACUGGGGAAUCGAAACCACACCAGUUGACUCAAUGACAGACCUUAUGAUACAAUGCACACACGCUAACCAUUCCACCAUCCAACCCCCCUCGGAGGAAGGUAGGAUGUUAAACCCCAUUUGGUGAUUGACAAAAACAACCAUUCCAAAAAUACAUCUUUUUUUCAAAUAGACCUACUGUAUUAAUUUUACCAAUAUCAGUAGAUGGUUCUGUUCUGGACACAAUUUCCAACAUAAAAGUGCUUGAGAAGUCUUGGAUAUAUCACCAGAAGAAAAAUUAAGCUGUUACUUGAUGUAUAAUGUAUUUAAUUGAAUCCAUGUGAAAAUUAUCAAAAACUGACAUAAAAUAUUGCCCUACUGUUCCAAGCAGCUCGCUGUAGAUAUUUCUUUGCAAACCAAGGUAUGCUAAAACUUUUAAACAAGAUAAAUAGACACUAGGAGUAUUUCUUGGCAUUUAAUUUGCACAUAUUAUGAAAAUCUACUAAUUUCAAACUAUACCCUGUGAUGUCUGUAACUGCUCUUUACUUUAUCCAGUAAAUGAUCAUGUUGACCUUAGCUGAGAGAUAAAGAUGUUUCAGAACUGGGAAACAUUUGUUUGACAAAACAGGAAGUAUUUUGUGAGGAUUUCCUUUUUAUUGUACAUCUAAAUGCAGCCAUUAUAGCUAUCAGGUCAUUUACACAAGUUUAAAUAUUACUAUAUACAAACAACACUUUUGCCCAUGCUGUAAUGCUUUAUCUCUUGCAAAUAUACCCCAAUAAUGUCAAAUCUAGUGAUUAAAAGGAUAUGAAUUCUUUGUUAUCUUAUUUCAGAGCCAAUGAAAUAUAUUUACAGUUAAACUAAGUUAUGUGGUUGGAAUCAAUUUAAUGACUUGAAAGUAGGGUAUGGUAUGCAAUUCCAAUUUAAAGAAGAAAUAAAACCUCCAAAUUCAAUUUCUGUGAAAUUUCAAUUUUAACGCAUCACAAAACCUGCACUUGAUUUACAGAGUAC